Non-coding RNA from Podarcis lilfordi (Lilford's wall lizard), 87 nucleotides. The record is from the annotation of a GenBank genome assembly. Lineage: Eukaryota; Metazoa; Chordata; Lepidosauria; Squamata; Lacertidae.
GGUCCAGUAGCACCUUAUAGACCAACUAAGUUUGUUCUGGUAUAGCUUAUACUGGAACAAACUUGGUCUAUAAGGUGCUACUGGACA